CCAAUUACAAUUUUUCUUUUAAGCAUUCCAACGCAAGGUCUUCCUUUCAAUCAACUCUCAUCCAAGUUAUGGAACUACUCGCUCAUUUGUGAAUGUAGAAUUCAUGACAUAGGAAAGGGAAAUAAAGAAAGACAUGAUAAAUAAUGAUAAAAAGACCAAUUAAAAAUAAAAAUAGUUCUUAUAUUAAUAAACUCUAAAAAUAAUCCAAUAGUAAUUCUGAAUAAACAAAGGACAUGGAAGAGUAAGAGACAGGUAAAGAAAACAAACUAGAAUGACGAAGUCUUGCUGAGGUAAUAACUCUUCUCAAUAUCCCAAUGCGAAAAGCAAUAAAAAUAAAAUCCUAAGAACUAUGAAUGUGUAGAGAGAAAACCUAGAGGAGGAGUUAAAACUAGAUCUAAAACUGAGAAUUGUCUGUAAUGAAUGUUGUUUUUUGUUUCUCCAUGUUCCUUGGCUCUAGUAUGCUUUUCUGGGCCAAAAAUUGGGUCAAAACAGGGCCCAAAAUUGCCCCCAGCGAAUUCUGCAGAUUCUGUAGAUCGCGCAUGUCACGCGAUCGCGUCAUUCAUGCGGACGCGUCAUUCGGCGUUUUGCCUUGCCACGCGUGCGCGUCGUCCACGCCUCCGCGUCACUUGUGCAGCUCCAAUCCACGCGGUCGCGUGAGCCAUGCGUCCGCGUCACUGCGAUUUCCUCUACGUCGUGCGGUCGCGUGAGCCAUGCGUCCACGUCACUUCUCGCUGGUCAUCUCUUCAAUUUCUUGUGUUCCUUCCAUUUUUGCAAGCUUCCUUUCCAAUCUCCAAGUCAUUCAUGCCCUAUAAAGCCUGAAACACUUAACACACAGAUCACGGCAUCUAAUGGAAUGAAGGAGAAUUAAAAUACAUAAUUAAAGGUCUUUAGAAAGCAAAUAUUCAAUCAUGUAAUAAUUUUAGGAAGGAAAUAUAAAUGCAUGCCAAUCAUAUGAAUAAGUGGAUAAAGAAUUGAUAAAACCAUACAAUUAAGCACAAUAUAAACCAUAAAAUAGUGGUUUAUCAAUGAGAUGGUGGUUUAGUUUUGGUUGGGAUAUUGGAAAAUUGAGAACUUUGUGAAUUUUGGUUAAAAUGGAUUUUUGGUGAACUUUGACGGAUCAUAACUUGAGCCUCAGUUUUCAAAUUUUGUUGAAAUUUUCUUUAAAUUAAAGUUCAUAGAAAAAUCUUUAAAUGGAUAUAAAGUUUGUAGGAAAUGGAUUUUUGUAGAGGAAGUUAAGAUCAUUCAAAGUUUGGUGUCAAAAUCUAAAUUCUGUGAAUGCUGCAGAAUUUGUGAUUUCUGGUUUGUGUGCGCAUGCACAGCCUUGUGCGCACGCACACACCGGGAUAUGGCUUCUGGUGAGAGCGCUAGCACGACCUGUGUGCACACGUAACCAACGAAGUUUUGCAAGCUGUGCGCACGCACACGUUAGAAAGUGCAUUUUGUUGAGGGCGUUCGCACGCCUUGUGCGAGCGAACAGAAUUGGAAAAUUUUAUACUUGCGCGUACGCACACCUCUAUGCGUACGCACACAUUUUGAAAAUCCUACUAGGCGUGCGCACAUGCCCUGUUUUUCAACUAAAUUCUUGUUUUUAACUGUUUCACCUUCCCAAUACGCUUGUAAAUUUCUGUGACACCUAUUUAAGACUCUUUGACUUAUUUUCGAGUAUCAAAACAUGGGAAAAGGUCCUAGGAGAUUUAAUUUAGUUAUACCUUGAAAAGUUAGAGAAUGAAGGCUUAGGUUUCUAGUGUACUAAGGAUGGGUUUGGUGGAGUGAGAAGGGAGAAAGAUAUAUGAAUUGAGAACUGAUGAACUAAUGAGUUCGGAAAGGAAAUUGUGAAUUGACAGUGGUUGAGAUGAGUCGAGAACUCGGAGUUUGAAAUGAUGAAUUAUUGAUAUAAUGAAAUAAUAAAUUUUUCAAAACCAUUGAUGUAACAUUUUUAAAUUGAGAUUGUUGAGACGCUAUGCGCCCGGCAGGGACGGCGGUUGGAUCCUGCCUGUCGAGGUAGCGGCGGCGGCGUAAGGGCAGUGGUUCGUCCCGCUUACGUUGAGAUGUGAGGUCCGUAGCAAGAGUAUCCCACUCGCAUCUCUUUGGAUCACUAGAGUGUGCAGGCACAAAAUCCUGGAUGGUGUUCCGAGCACUAUAUCUCGGGGGUUCCCAUUAUGAUUCUGAAGGGCGACAUCUCCAUGGAGAUGUGUCAGGUUGGCAGUUGAACCGACAAUGUGAUAUCACAGCCAGUAGGACAGGCAUUCAUCAUAUGCAUCUUCUAUCUGUUUGUAUUCUUUGUCGACUUGAAAUUGUUUGCCUAAUUGUAUAACAUGCCUAAUUGCCUAUUUGAAUUACUUGAUAUAUAUGCCUAUACUUGUGUUUUACUUGCAUUGUAAUUAAUUGUGUUUUCUACUGGAAUUGAGGAGGUUUGGAAGGCGGUGGCGAUGGGAUCGCAUGGAGGAUAGGUGGGUGAAGGCUGUGGGAUAGCGGAGAACAGUUAGAUUAGAAAAUCCCCUAAGAUAGAUUACCCCUUUUUAAUAUGUUAAGGUUUUAAGCUAUGCUUUACUGUUUUAAUUAUGCUUUAAGGUGAAUCUCGUGAUGGAUAUGAAGUUCUAGGAUUGCCUCUAGUGUCCCAGAGUCUUAUAUCUCACAUCACUGGGCACUGUUACCAUACUGAGAACCUCCGAUUCUCAUACCAUAUUCUGUUAUUGUUUUUCAGAUGCAGGUCGCAACCCACCUCGGUGAGUUGUUUCGAUGGUGAUAGAAUGGAGGAUCUUGGAUAUAUUUUGGAGUUUUUUUAUUAUUUUGUUUAUAUCUCUCACUUUUGUAUUUACUUUUACCUAGAGGCUUAUUUUGAGAGAGAAACUUGUAUAAGCUGUUUUUUAAACUUUCAUAUUUCUGUAUUAUCUGUAUAUAGCUAGCCGGCUUAAACUCCGCCAGUAUAUAUAUCUUGUGCGUUAAGUUUGUAGCAUCGUGUGUACGUUUUGUGCUUUUCAAAUCCUGUUUUUGAGCUGUAUCCUUCAUCGGGCUUCUAGAAUAUGUUAUUUCUUCUAUAUAUAAAUAUGUAUAAGCUUUAGAAUUGUCGUAACCUUUGAUUAACCUUUGCUUUACGACGCGAGGUAAGACUUAGACUAAUUAGGGUGUUACAGAAUCUGGGUUCCAAACUGUGUUUGUAGUUUUUGUAAUACUUUUUAAGAGAAUAAUUUUGGUAAAACUGCUACGAAUCUUUCUUUCCAAAAAGGUGCAUAUGCAUCAUCUCUUAUCAUAACUUUUGACAUAAAAACAUCUUUAUACCAUCUAUAAUCAGACAUGGUUGGACAUCUUAAAUUCAUUAAUUGAGUUUCUAUCCUAUCUUUGAAAGUACUUGGAUCUCCUACAAAGUUUUUAAUAAUGGUAUAUAUUAAUAUGGAUGUAGCAUCUUGUGACUGAUCUUCUUGUUUAAUGUUAUUAAUAAUUAAUUAUUUUUCUUGGAUACUGAGAAAAUUAUCCCACCAUCCUUUUAAUUGUCUUGUAAAUACUUAGGUUAACAUAAUUGCUGCCUCUUUAUCGAAAGCUUUUCUCAUCUUAUAAGCAGUUGCGGCCAUAGUCAUAUUACACAUUUGAUCUAAAAUGGCUUGUUCACUUAAUCCAUCUAUAUUCCAUUUUACUAAAUCUGAUUCAAAAAAAACUAUUUUGUACUAAUUGCGUUCUUUCUUCUAAGCCUACAUCUACUGGUGACGGUCUAGAAUAAUAAUUUCUUGUUUUAGGAUAAUCUUUUUUAUGAGACAUUUUAUUUAUUUCUAAUUCUCCUUCCUUUAUUAAUGUAUUAAUCGAUAUUUUUCCUAGAUUAAUACUUCUAAAUUUAUCUUUUAAUUCAUCAACUUCUACUUCUACUUUAGAUUUUAAACUAAUAUUAUCUAAGCUUUGUAGUUUAUAUAUAGGUUUUUCUUCUUUAAUUGUUUUUUCCAUAUUUUUCAUUCUUCUUAAUUGAUUUUUCACUAUAUCUAAUAACAUGUAUUAGUAAAGUUUAAUUGUUGAUGUAAUUUCUUAAUAUCUCUUUUUUCUAUGAUUUUAUGAGAAAAAAUAGAAUUAAUUUAUAUUUCUUUGAUUGGUACGUUAAUUAUUAUUCUAAAAACAAUAAAAAAUUAUGUCCGUUAACAAAACCAACUGUUAUAUGAAAAAUUAGUUUAAGAUCAAUAAUAAAAUCUGAAUAUCCUCUUAAAAAAAUUAUUAAAAUACCAGUUGGUAUUAUUAUUAUUAUUAUUAUUAUUAUUAUUAUUAUUUGAAAUUUAUCUUAUGCAUAUUAUUCAAUCAUUCCUCAUUGCUGAACCAAUCUUAGAGGUUAGAAGGCAAAGUAUUUGAUGGAACUCUGAUGGAGAGUUCCAUUUGAUGGAGUUCUUAAAAAUAUUUAUAGAUUUGUCCCAAUUUAUUUUUCUCUAUUUACUAAUGUGCAACAAUAUUUCUGAAAAUCAAUUUUAAACCCUAAUCCAAUUGAACCGUUUAAUUGGAACCCUUUAUGCAAUGUGACUGAAAUUAAUAAGGAAAAACGGCAUCAGUACCACCAACAGCUAUCGUCAGUGGCAACAAAGGUAAAGUUCUAAUAGGUUGAAUGUUAAAGUUCUAAGUGUUCUCUUGUUUCUCUGUCCUUUUUCUUCAUUCUCACUUGUCUGCGUCGUUUCUGGUGCGGUUGACAUGACGCUUCUUGGGACUAAUGGAAGCUGCACAGGCUUUGGCUUGCUUUGUGUUUAGCUUCUCCUCAUUGCAAUGCAAGCUCAAGGACCACGAUUUUUUUGGGUUUAAAUACAACAAAAUGACCAUGAAAGAUCCAUCAAAUAAAAAUAUAAAAUAAGAAUGACUAUUUCUAAAUCUCUUUCUCUGUAUUUUAUUUUGAAAUAAAAUAUAAAUUUUAGAUCUCGUAUUCUGACUAAGGACUAGCUAAGAACAAUUUCUGUGUCUUAUACUCCUCUACAACAUCAAAAUCAGCUUCAAAACAUAAAUUUUCAGUCACAGUUGAAACCAAAAACACUCAACCCAAAAAAAAAAAAAAAGAAAAAGGAAAAGUAGAUGGAAAUUGAAAGUGGUAAAUAUACAUAGAGCUUACCCAGUUUCAAGUUGAAAGGGGAGAGGACCAUCAAAACCAGGAAGGUAUUCAACUUUUGAACCACCUGCUUCAAUUUUAUGAGAUGCUAUCUGCAAGAAAAGUGUGAGAGAGAGAAGCAGUAAUUGAAAAAAGUAACUCCAUUUUUUGGAAUUGAAAAAAGUAACUCCAUUUUUUGGAAUUGGAAGCCAUUUUCAUUCACUGCUCUGUACUCUGCAGCCUCACAUGCAAUUCUUGAUCCCAAUUUCUAGGCAUUAGUAUUUACUAUUUAGCAUUG
Molecule: long non-coding RNA, 5339 nt
Filed under: Arachis ipaensis
Lineage: Eukaryota; Viridiplantae; Streptophyta; Magnoliopsida; Fabales; Fabaceae
Description: long non-coding RNA (AIPA_LNC000384)
Source: RNAcentral